GUCACUUUGGCGGAGUGGUUAACGCGCUGCCCUGCUAAUCACCAAGUUAGCAGCUUAAGGCAGUUCCUUCGGGAGCGUAGGUUCGAAUCCUACAGGUGACG
Non-coding RNA from Canariomyces notabilis, 101 nucleotides. The record is from the annotation of a RefSeq genome assembly. Lineage: Eukaryota; Fungi; Ascomycota; Sordariomycetes; Sordariales; Chaetomiaceae.